UACGUAGGGGGCAAGCGUUGUCCGGAAUCAUUGGGCGUAAAGAGCGUGUAGGCGGCUCGAUAAGUCUGCUGUGAAAGUCCAGGGCUCAACCCUGGAAGGCCAGUGGAAACUGUCGGGCUAGAGUCCGGAAGAGGCGAGUGGAAUUCCCGGUGUAGCGGUGAAAUGCGCAGAUAUCGGGAGGAACACCAAUGGCGAAGGCAGCUCGCUGGGACGGUACUGACGCUGAGACGCGAAAGCGUGGGGAGCAAACAGG
Molecule: ribosomal RNA, 253 nt
Filed under: uncultured bacterium
Lineage: Bacteria
Description: partial 16S ribosomal RNA
Rfam family: Bacterial small subunit ribosomal RNA
Source: RNAcentral